This is a long non-coding RNA of Quercus robur (English oak), 1766 nucleotides long. RefSeq lists it as uncharacterized. The transcript has 6 exons. The record is from RefSeq and is a predicted model, not a curated record. NCBI's taxonomy places the organism in Eukaryota, Viridiplantae, Streptophyta, Magnoliopsida, Fagales, Fagaceae.
UUGAGCGUUCUGGUCACAAACCCCCAAAGCUACCAAACUUCCCAUUUCAAUGGCGACUCUAGUAAAAGUGUACGGUCCAUCCAUGUCCACAGCUGUGUCCAGGGUCUUUGCCUCUCUCUAUGAGAAAAAUUUCGAGUUCCAGCUCUUCUACAUUAACAUGUUACAUGUCUAACGGCAAACACAAAAAGGCCUGAGUUCCUCAAGCUCCAGAGUACAUGUCUGGUGGAAGCGUUUAUGACUUUCUGCAUAAACAAAAGGGUGUUUUCACACACCCAACCUUAAUCAGAGUAGCCAUUGAUGUUUCCAAGGGAAUGAACUAGUUGCAUCACAAUAAUAUAAUCCAUCGGGACCUGGAAAUUGCCAAUCUUUUGAUAGAUGGAAAUGGAACUGGAGGGCAGCUGCAUGCAUUCCUGUCCUUGAUUUAUUGGUUCUUCUGGAUGGGAGCUUUGUUAGGUUGUCAAGAUUGCUGAUUUUGGCAUUGCUAGAAAUGCAGCUCAAUCUUGUGUUAUGACUGCCGAAACAGAACAUACCGUUGGAUGGCUCCAGAGGUUAUCAAACACAAAACAUAUGAUCACAAAGUGGAUGUUUUCAGCUUUGGAGUUCUAGUGUGGGAGUUGCUUACAGGAAAGGUAAUUUGCCACUUUGUUGGUAGUUAUAAUGAGUGCUGGUGAAGAAAAUAUAACUCUCUUCAGAUAAUUACUUUGCUAUAUCUUCUAAAAAAUAAUGGUUGCACAGACUUCAUAUCAAUCAUCUUGUUUUCUGACUAAAAUGCCAUCUCCCAUAUGAGCACUUGACCCCAAUACAAGCAGCAGUUGGUGUGGUUCAGAAGGUAUUCCUCUAUUAAAAUUUUUGACAUUGUAAAAUUGCACAGAAAAGACUUCCUCUCAAAGAGGUCUCCAUAAAAUUCUGGGAAAAUGUCAAUGAUUGCUGUCUUAAUAAAAUCUUGUUAAUCUUCUUCUACCCCAACAACAUCUUCUGUUUCUGUCUUUGUCUAGGUCUUUGUUUUUGUGUGCAUGUGAUUUCCCCUUUUGGUUCAAGGGAGAAUUUUAGUUCAUCAUCAUCCCCUUUUUCACCAACAAUAUAAUUUGUUCUAGCCCUGGAAUCUAUGACCACUGAGCAGGUGACACAACUACCUAACCUCCAUGCCUACAAAGAGGGUUUUGGUCCAUUCUGAAGAAUGAGUAUGCUGGGAAAAUCACAUCUGGACCAAGAACCUGCUGGUAUAGCUGUUUGUUUGAAGAGUAGGGUAUUUCUUAUUUUUGAGAGAUUUUAAAAAAAAGAAGAAAAAAACGAAAGUACUUAACUGGGCAUUGCAGACUAGUGGAAGACAGAAAGAUCUUAAGUUAAUAUAGAGAUUUGGUGACAUGAAUUUCAGGGUCUGAGGCCUACAAUUCCAUAGCAGACUCCUCCAAAGCUUGGGGAAUCACUUGAGAGAUAUUGGCAGCAAGAUCUAUCUUUAAGACCAGAAUUCUCAGAAAUUUUAGAAAUUUGCAGCACAUGGCCUAGAGGGUUGCAGAAGAGAGAAUGGACCGGCAGAAGGUGAAAUCACUUAGAAGAGUAUCUGCUUUUGUAUGGAGUGUCGAUUGAAGUGCAACUGGCAAGUGAGAAGGCUGUUUAUAACACAUGUUAAUGAUGUAAUAAUCUUGUUUUGCUGAGUUCCUUUCACUUUGUUUUUUCUCCAUUUGGAACUCUCUGUUGUUAAUCCAACUAAUGACUAGAUAUUGCCUGAACAGUCACUGAAUUUAGUAAUAAUCCAAACAUUUCUU